RNAcentral lists this non-coding RNA (30 nucleotides) under Rattus norvegicus (Norway rat). Lineage: Eukaryota; Metazoa; Chordata; Mammalia; Rodentia; Muridae. The record is from RNAcentral.
UGUGCAGACCUCUACUAGCACAGGAUAUGC